RNAcentral lists this non-coding RNA (98 nucleotides) under Otolemur garnettii (small-eared galago). Lineage: Eukaryota; Metazoa; Chordata; Mammalia; Primates; Galagidae. The record is from RNAcentral.
GGCAGGUCCAAAGGUCUUGCUUGCUCACCGUCAGCAGCAGACAGACCACCCUGUCCUGCUCCUUCCCCCUUCUCACUACUGCACGUGACUAGUCUUAC